RNAcentral lists this long non-coding RNA (490 nucleotides) under Sorghum bicolor (sorghum). Its description in RNAcentral is "long non-coding RNA (SBIC_LNC010265)". The record is from RNAcentral. Lineage: Eukaryota; Viridiplantae; Streptophyta; Magnoliopsida; Poales; Poaceae.
ACCGUUGUGCAAUUAAUGGCAAUUAAUUGUGUUUGAUUGCCAUUAACCGGACGUUUCCUCCUGGGGCCUAUAUAUUCCAUACGCAGAGACACCUUCCAUACCUGCGAGACACACUCAGUCCUCUCCUGUCGAGUUGCUUUCUGUCCAUUCCCGUCCCGAACCUCUGCGCGCACAGAGAUCGGGAGAGCAGGCCUCCGGAACCCGACGCCUUGCAACGAGACACCUGCUCGGGUGUUGCGGGCAAUCAGAUUUUUGGGGAGCGUCUUCCGCGACUGCUCACCGACGAGUUCGUUGUCUUCUUCCUGGUGGACGUUCUCACGGAUCGAGAUCGACUACUGCGUCUUCGUCUUCUUCCUGGUGGACGUUCGCGGGACUGCACUGCGAAUAUCUUCCUGCACCGACUGUGGUCCGCUACUUUGAGCAACGCACUAUGUCGACUAGUGCGAAUGGAGCCGCCGGUGCCUUCGGCACUGGUCCCUCCUCUGGGUAC